This 496-nucleotide ribosomal RNA is filed under the name uncultured bacterium. RNAcentral's name for it is "partial 16S ribosomal RNA". It matches the Rfam family "Bacterial small subunit ribosomal RNA", at positions 28 to 506 of the family's 1533-position model. The record is from RNAcentral.
GAUGAACGCUGGCGGCGUGCCUAAUACAUGCAAGUCGAGCGAACAGACGAGGAGCUUGCUCCUCUGACGUUAGCGGCGGACGGGUGAGUAACACGUGGAUAACCUACCUAUAAGACUGGGAUAACUUCGGGAAACCGGAGCUAAUACCGGAUAAUAUAUUGAACCGCAUGGUUCAAUAGUGAAAGACGGUUUUGCUGUCACUUAUAGAUGGAUCCGCGCCGCAUUAGCUAGUUGGUAAGGUAACGGCUUACCAAGGCAACGAUGCGUAGCCGACCUGAGAGGGUGAUGGGCCACACUGGAACUGAGACACGGUCCAGACUCCUACGGGAGGCAGCAGUAGGGAGUCUUCCGAAAUGGGCGAAAGCCUGACGGAGCAACGCGGGGUGAGUGAUGAAGGUCUUCGGAUCGUAAAACUCUGUUAUUAGGGAAGAACAAAUGUGUAAGUAACUAUGCACGUCUGGACGGUACCUAAUCAGAAAGCCACGGCUAACUACGU